Transfer RNA from Agaricus bisporus var. burnettii JB137-S8, 72 nucleotides. It matches the Rfam family "tRNA". From Rfam's summary of the family: Transfer RNA (tRNA) molecules are approximately 80 nucleotides in length. Their secondary structure includes four short double-helical elements and three loops (D, anti-codon, and T loops). The record is from Rfam. NCBI's taxonomy places the organism in Eukaryota, Fungi, Basidiomycota, Agaricomycetes, Agaricales, Agaricaceae.
AGCAGCAUGGCGCAGUGGUAGCGCGCGGGGCCCAUAACCCCGAGGUCACUCGAUCGAAACGAGUUGCUGCUA